AAGCAGAUUGGAAAAUUCCAUGGUAUUAUAUUGUUGCUGGAAUUGGAUGCCUCAUUCUGCUGGUGAUCACAUGUAGCCUUAUUCAUGAAUUCAGAGGUGAACAAAUCUCAACAUUAUACAUUAUUUAUCUGUUGCUUGUCUAUCGUAGCAUAAUUUGUCUGAAAAAUACUGUGUAAAAAACAGUUUCUUCACUUCUGCAGGACUGUAUGUAAAGAAAUCGACUGAAUCUUAUGACGUCAACUCCUCACAAAAUGAGGGUGAGCAUUUUUUGCCAUUCAAGCAGCUGAAAAAAUGCACUAAUAUUUAUUCAGUAAAAUGCUGAUUUUUUCUGAUUUUAUCACAUUAUCAGCAGCUAAUCCUUCUGGAAACAGACGCAAUGAGAGAGCAAGACGAAAUGAGAACGGCGCGACAGAAGAGGAUGAUGGCCACUAUGAAGACAUGCACGGAGACGAGCACGACAAAGAUUAUGAAACCAUGCAGGAGCACAUCGGCCAACACGAAGAUUCAGACAGAGAUGAAGAGGAGGACUAUGUAAACACUGAGAGGGGACAGGGGGAAGGCCAGUACAUCAAUUCUGAGAGGUCAGAUCCUCGCGGACACCGUGCACAGAGAGAAAAUGACCAUCACGACCCCAGCGGACUUCAGAUAAGAUCACAACCUCAAAACAGGGGUAAAGGCUAUUUUUGUAUCAGUAUAGUGAAUAUGAGUUUACAGUGAGACGAGUAGACAGAUGACUAAUGUUUCUUUGUUAUCUUUAGACUUAAGUGAAACACAAAGUCAGCCACACUCGAGAGCACCGUACUAUGGUAGGUCUUUUUAUUCUCUACAGCCAUGAUAACAGUGAAUGGUGCAAAUAGUAGUAAAACUGUUUCAUCAACUGACUUAAAUUUCUGUCCUUAAAUCUAACAGUGAACCAGACAGAAUUCAGCAAUCCUGGAGGCGCUGCCAAAAGAAAACAACCCCGUAAGAAAAAGAAACCUCGUAAGUAUUGUUUCAAUUUCCCUAAUACUAUCUACUAUCAAUAUUUUUAACUAUAGUAUGAAUCUGUUACUGUUAGGCUGUGGUUACAUAAGACAUUGGCAGUCUUUGUAGCCUUGGAAAAUGGGUGAGGCUGAAGCCUAAAAGCCUAUUAUUUUGUUUCUAAACUGAAAGCAGAAGCAUUUCUGAGUGGAGAAGAAUAUGGAUAAAAUCUUGUGUUUAAUGCUACCAGUGUGCUGAAACAACCAUCCCUGCUAAGCCCCUGCUAAUAUAUUCAUUCUAAAAACUGGGGUGUCGGGUCGCUUUUCAAGGGAGUUCUUCUUCUGGCCACGUCACGUGUCUUUACGUUCUUAUGUCACACGUACAGCCUCUAAAAGAGGAUCCGGCUCAGUUUUACGGAAAGCCAGCGGCUGGUGGAGCAAUGGAGACUUCAGAAGAGGAACCUCAGACCUCAGUAGCUCAUUCACUCACAGUAAAACCAAAGUGUGUAGUUGAAGUGAAGUUUCUGACUAAGCGCUCUCUCUCUCUCUAUCUGACUGAACCGCUUUACACCCGCCCAGUUUAAAAUGAUUUUUCCGCAUGCUUGGUGCAAUUACCCAUUCUCACCAGAGAGUCCCAAAACUUACAGACAUCAGCUUUACCUGCUACCUUGGAGGUGUACACUAGAUCUAAAUUGACACCACUCAUACUUUUGAGAUGCAACAGGACAAUGACCAAAAACACUUGAGAAAGUUCACAACAGAGUGGCCAAUCAGAGCUCAGAAUUGAAGAGAGUCAUGCACUCAGCGAAUAAGAUAGAGCUAAAGCAGUUCUGCCAGGGAUAAUGGGCUAAAAUUCAAUUGUAUUUCUUUCUACUACUAAUACUACUAUUUACUGUACCUAUUGAACCGAACCUCUCCCUAUAUAGCUAACACUAAAGAGGAAAUAGGGAUUCAUUUUGGUCGCAGCCCAAAAGCCACCAAAAGUUCUCAAUUUUGUUGCUGCUAGCACACUAAUGUUAGCUAACUUGCCAACCAAAACAGUAAAAACUUAAAUAAAUAAAAACAUAAUAAUAAUUGUAUCCA
This 2042-nucleotide long non-coding RNA is filed under the name Astyanax mexicanus (Mexican tetra). RNAcentral's name for it is "lncRNA (ENSAMXG00005002503.1)". Lineage: Eukaryota; Metazoa; Chordata; Actinopteri; Characiformes; Acestrorhamphidae. The record is from RNAcentral.